This 372-nucleotide ribosomal RNA is filed under the name uncultured organism. RNAcentral's name for it is "partial 16S ribosomal RNA". It matches the Rfam family "Bacterial small subunit ribosomal RNA", at positions 527 to 896 of the family's 1533-position model. The record is from RNAcentral.
GUAGGUGGCAAGCGUUGUCCGGAAUUAUUGGGCGUAAAGCGCGCGCAGGCGGUCCUUUAAGUCUGAUGUGAAAGCCCACGGCUCAACCGUGGAGGGUCAUUGGAAACUGGGGGACUUGAGUACAGAAGAGGAAAGCGGAAUUCCAAGUGUAGCGGUGAAAUGCGUAGAGAUUUGGAGGAACACCUGUGGCGAAGGCGGCUUUCUGGUCUGUAACUGACGCUGAGGCGCGAAAGCGUGGGGAGCAAACAGGGAUUAGAUACCCUGGUAGUCCACGCCGUAAACGAUGAGUGCUAAGUGUUAGGGGGUUUCCCGCCCCUUAGUGCUGCAGCUAACGCAUUAAGCACUCCGCCUGGGGAUACGGCCGCAAGGCUG